GGAAUUCACAAACUCCACCUCUCCUGCCAAUUCAACUAACAGCUUCAGCGCUCCUAAACGGUUUUGUUUCACAGCGGAAUGCAGAAUGGUCUCGCCUUGAUCCAAUUUGUACCGAGUCACUUGUGGUCGGGCCCCAACCAGCAUCCUUGUGACCUCAACUUCGCCUUUCAUUACCGCCAGAUGGAGGGGCAUUCUUCCAUCUUCAUCACGGAUGAGACAAGCGUCAGGAUUGGAGGACAGCAGUAUGUUAACCAUCUCAACAUAGCCAUUGGCAGAAGCCAAGUGUAGAGGCGAACGCCCCCGCAAAUCCAGCGCCCUGGUCAUGUCUGGUUUGUGAGUAAGAAGAUAGCUUGCGAAGUCGAGGUGACCGAGCAUGGCGGCUACGUGGAGUGGAGUCUCAUUAAAGCAUGUGACUGCAGCUCGAGCAAGAGUGAGUGGGUCUUUUGCGAUCAACCGCUUCAAGGAAUUCACACUUCCGGUUACUGAUGCUUCAUACAGCCUUCUCU
RNAcentral lists this long non-coding RNA (506 nucleotides) under Vitis vinifera (wine grape). RNAcentral describes it as "long non-coding RNA (VVIN_LNC003369)". Lineage: Eukaryota; Viridiplantae; Streptophyta; Magnoliopsida; Vitales; Vitaceae. The record is from RNAcentral.